RNAcentral lists this long non-coding RNA (4869 nucleotides) under Salmo salar (Atlantic salmon). Its description in RNAcentral is "lncRNA (ENSSSAG00000113689.1)". Lineage: Eukaryota; Metazoa; Chordata; Actinopteri; Salmoniformes; Salmonidae. The record is from RNAcentral.
GUACGCUGAGAGUCGGGAAGCAAGGACAGGGAGUGAAUCAUUUAAUUAAUAAAUGACCAUAGAACAAAACAAGAAACACGGGCAGCGUACAGAAAUGAAACACAAACAGAGUCAAUAACGCCUGGGGAAGGAACCAAAGGGAGUGACAGAUAUAGGGAAGGUAAUCAGGAAGAAGACGGAGUCCAGGUGAGUCUGAUGAGGCGAGUAACGAUGGUGACAGGUGUGCAUAAUAUUGAGCAGCCUGGUGACCUAGAGCGCCGGAGAGGGAGUAUACGUGACAGUACCGGCUCCAGCCGCAGCACGCCGACGAUCCCGGGGACCAGGAGCGGACCGGUGGCCUCUGCUGAGGCGCGGGAGCCUGCCGAGUCUACCGAGUCUUGUGAACCUGGCGAGCCAGCUAAAGCAUGGAAGCCUGACGAGCUAGUUGAGAAAUCCUCGGUAGACUCGGCAACAGACGCUUGACUGGCCAACCGAGUCUUGUGAACCUGAUGUGCCGGCUGAGGGUGGACCCGACGUCACCUACCAACACAAAAAACACUCCCUGAUGCUCCCCUUUGGGGAGGCGUUAUUCUGUAACGUGUACGUUGAGAGUCAGGAAGCAAGGACAGGGAGUGAAUAAUUUAAUUAAUAAAUGACCAUAGAACAAAACAAGAAACACGGGUAGCGUACAGAAAUGAAACACAAACAGAGUCAAUAACGCCUGGGGAAGGAACCAAAGGAAGUGACAGAUAUAGGGAAGGUAAUCAAGGAGGUGAUGAAGUCCAGGUGAGCUGUGAACCCCUAAUUACAGGUGAGCUGUGAACCCAUAAUUACAGGUGAGAUGUGAACCCCUAAUUACAGGAGAGCUGUGAACCCCUAAUUACAGGUGAGCUGUGAACCCAUAAUUACAGGUGAGAUGUGAACCCCUAAUUACAGGUGAGAUGUGAACCCAUAAUUACAGGUGAGCUGUGAACCCAUAAAUAGGGACUGUGUCAACUCUGUUAGCAGAAAGUUUGCCAAAUCUGCCAAUUGCAACAAUUGAUUUCCUUCCAGAAAUGCUUUAUUGAAGACUUAGCUUUCCACUCAUGUUCCAGGUAAUUCGGGGGGAUUGCAUCCAUUGCCAUGGGCUUCAGUUAUCGCUGCGAUCCCAUCUUAGGCUGCAUGAAAGGGCACGUCGAACCAGGAAUAAUAAUGAAUAAGGCCGAGUGCCAUUCAGUCUAGGUCCACAGGGGCCUAGCGGUAUACAGGCUCCACAGCCAUGUCUUCUCCCCCUAUCUGACACUCAGAGUGACAUGACUAUAUCUCAUUAUCUCCACUGUAAGGCCUGUGAAAUAUAUCAGGAUACAUGUUAUGUCUUUGAUACAUGCAGCUUUAAAAAUUCUAUUUGUUCUGUCUUUGUAAGAGUUCAUGCACCUGUUGGCUGGAGCUGCGAAGGCACAGUAGCCUAGUGGUUCAGAACGGUAGAGUUAGUGUUAUAACACCAACCCAAACGUUGCUGGUUCAAAUCCCUAAGCUGACUAGGUGAGAAUCUGUCAAUGUACCCUUGAGCAAGACACAUCUUGAUCCACUCUGGCUAGUUGCUCUGGAUAAGAGUGUAUGUAGUGAAUGUUUUAGUUUAGAAUUUAUUGGUGUCCCUUUGCUGCUUGAAAAGUCUUUGGCAAAGAAGUUCAACUUAGUACAGUGUGAUUUGCAUGUGAAUGUCAAAGAGACCAAGCUCAGUAGAACUGAAAGAAUGGAUACGAGGAGAAGUAGGAGAAGCAGUGGAGUAAUAGAGGAAAGCAAUGGAGCAAGCCCACUGCUUGGCUUGCUUUAAACUGUUCAGCUGCCUAGUUGUCAUUAUAUUAAUUUAGAUGAAGGAAAUGAAACAAGGAGAGGAAGCUACUUUAGACUAUUUAAUUCAGCUCAUAAAAUGACACAGCCUAAAUACUUCCCAGCACAUAGUCUAUCUCUCUCCUGCUCUCCAUCUCUCUGUCGAUCUCUUUCUCUGUCCAUCUCUCUCUCUGUCCAUCUCUUUCUCUGUACAUCUCUCUCUGUCCAUCUCUUUCUCUGUCCAUCUCACUCUCUUUCCAUCUCUUUCUCUGUCCAUCUCUCUCUCUGUCCAUCUCUUUCUCUGUCCAUCUCUCUCUGUCCAUCUCUUUCUCUGUCCAUCUCUCUCUGUCCAUCUCUUUCUCUGUCCAUCUUUCUCUGUCCAUCUCUCUCUCUGUCCAUCUCUUUCUCUGUCCAUCUCUCUCUGUCCAUCUCUUUCUCUGUCCAUCUCUCUCCCUGUCCAUCUCUUUCUCUGUCCAUCUCUUUCUCUGUCCAUCUUUCUCUGUCCAUCUCUCUCUAUCUCUCUCUCUGUCCAUCUCUCUCUCUGUCCAUCUCUCUCUCUGUCUGUCUCUCUCUCUGUCCAUCUCUCUCUGUCCAUCUCUUUCUCUGUCCAUCUUUCCCUGUCCAUCUCUUUCUCUGUCCAUCUCUUUCUCUGUCCAUCUCUUUCUCUGUCCAUCUCUCUCUCUGUCCAUCUCUCUCUCUGUCCAUCUCUCUCUGUCCAUCUCUCUCUCUGUCCAUCUCUUUCUCUGUUCAUCUCUCUCCCUGUCCAUCUCUCUCUCUGUCCAUCUCUUUGUCUGUCCAUCUCUCUCUCUGUCCAUCUUUCUCUGUCCAUCUCUCUCUCUGUCCAUCUCUUUCUCUGUCCAUCUCUCUCUCUGUCCAUCUUUCUCUGUCCAUCUCUCUCUCUGUCCAUCUCUUUCUCUGUCCAUCUCUCUCUCUGUCCAUCUUUCUCUGUCCAUCUCUCUCUCUGUCAUCUCUUUCUCUGUCCAUCUCUCUGUCCAUCUUUUUCUCUGUCCAUCUCUUUCUCAGUCCAUCUCUUUCUCUGUCCAUCUUUCUCUGUCCAUCUCUCUCUCUGUCCAUCUCCCUCUCUGUCCAUCUCCCUCUCUGUCCAUCUCUUUCUCUGUCCAUCUUUCUCUGUCCAUCUCUCUCUCUCUCUGUCCAUCUCUUUCUCUGUCCAUCUCUCUCUCUGUCCAUCUUUCUCUGUCCAUCUCUCUCUCUGUCCAUCUCUUCCCUGUCCAUCUCUCUCCUGCUCUCCAUCUUUCUCUGUCCAUCUUUCUCUGUCCAUCUCUCUCUCCUGCCCUCCACAUAUUGCCAAAGCUUACUUUUGAUAUUUACAAUAUCAAAAUAGCAAUAACAAUAACAGUAGCAAUAAGCAUACAGUAGAGGACAUGUGCAGGUUGAUUGGUCUGUCAGACACUGUCAAUCAUCUUAUGGCAGGCAGCAAUGUAGUGCUCUCUCUCUCUGUCUCUCUCUCUCUGUCCGUCUCUCUCUCUUUCUUUGUCUCUCUCUCUCUCUCUCUCUCUCUCUCUCUCUCUCUCUCUCUCUGUCUAUCUCUCUUUCUCUCUCUGUCUGUCUGUCUCUGUCUCUCUCUCUCUCUGUCCAUUUCUCUCUCGCUCUCUCGCUCUCUCUCUCUCUCUCUCUCUCUCUCUCUCUCUCUCUCUCUCUCUCUCUCUCUCUCUUUCUCUCUCAAUCUGUCCGUCUCUCUCUCUUUCUCUCUCAAUCUGUCCGUCUCUCUCUCUCUCUCUCUCUCUCUCCAAUUCAAGGGGCAUGGGAAACAUAUGUUAACAUUUCCAAAGCAAGUGAAGUAGAUAAUAUACAAAAGUGAAAUAAACAAGAAAAAUGAACAGUAAACAUCACACUCACAGAAGAUCCAAAAGAAUAAAGACGUUACAAAUGUCAUAUUAUGUAUAUAUACUGUGUUGUAACGAUGUACAAAUGGUUAAACUGCAAAAGGGAAAAUAAAUAAAAUAAAUAAGCAUAAAUAUGGGUUGUAUUUACAAUGGUGUUUGUUCUUCACUAGUUGACCUUUUCUUGUGGCACAGGUCACAAAUAUUGCUGCUGUGAUGGCACACUGUGGUAUUUCACCCAAUAGAUAUGAGAAUUUACCAAAAUCGGGUUUCUUUUCAAAUUCUUUGUGGGUCUGUGUAAUCUGAGGGAAAUAUGUGUCUCUAAUAUUGUCAUACAUUUUGCAGGAGGUUAGGAAGUGCAGCGCAGUUUCCACCUAAUUUUUUUGGGCAGUGUGGACAUAGCCUGUCUUCUCUUGAGAGCCAUGUCUGCCUACAGUGGCCUUUCUCGAUAGCAAGGCUAUGCUCACUGGAGUCUGUACAUAGUCAAAGCUUUCCUUAAGUUUGGGUCAGUCACAGUGGUCAGGUAUUCUGCCACUGUGUACUCUCUGUUUAGGGCCAAACAGCAUUCUAGUUUGCUCUGUUUUUUUGUUAAUUCUUUCCAAUGUGUCCAGUAGUUACCUUUUUGUUUUCUCAUGAUUUGGUUGGGUCUAAUUGUGUUGCUGUCCUGGGGCUCUGUGGGGUGUGUUGUGUUUGUGAACAGAGCCCCAGGACCAGCUUGCUUAGGGGACUCUUUGCCAGGUUCAUCUCUCUGUAGGUGAUAUGGUGGCAAAAUUGCAAGAUUAUGUUAUAAUACUUUUAUUGCAUGAAAUGGUUGUGUUAUGCAACAGAAUAGAGUAUUCUGUUAACUAUUGUGUGUGUGUUCUACUGAGGAUGGGCCACUGGGAGAUAACACUGACAGAGGAGAUUUAUGAGGUCUUUUGGGUGAUAAAACCUAAAGAGCAUUCCAGAGCAUGAGUUAAUGUUUCUGUUCUAUACCGUACCAGGGAGAGAUGGUUCCAGUUUGGAGUCAGAGGGACAGACUCUGGUCUAUACAAUGAAAACUGUUGACACAGCAGAUACUGUAUGCUAUGUAUUAUAGGUAUCUUUCAUCCAGAUCUUAACCUUGUGACCCAUUCUAUAUAUCUGUUGUUGGUCAUGUAGGUUGAAAGGGGGGUAUCUUGGCUAUAAAAGACAUGGUGUAUCGUCGACCAGCCAUUGUUAUUGCAAAGCUCUCACUAAUAAAGAUUCAGUUUAACUAUAA